RNAcentral lists this unclassified non-coding RNA (864 nucleotides) under Hevea brasiliensis (rubber tree). Lineage: Eukaryota; Viridiplantae; Streptophyta; Magnoliopsida; Malpighiales; Euphorbiaceae. The record is from RNAcentral.
GUGACACUCUCACUUUCUGUCUUCGUUAUCUUUAUUUCCACUCCCGUUGUCCAAGCUCAACUUCAUUCAUACUUGGUUAUAAUAUUGAUCGGACUGCAUUUUAACAAGGUAUUCUUCAUUUCAAGGCGAACCUUAGUCUUCAGGUUACCAGCCCGCUGCCCCCAUUACGUUAUGUGAUCCCAUAGUUAGUUCAAUAGAUCCGACUCCCCACAGGUGAGUGCUCAUAUUGCUUUUUUUUAUUAAGUGCUCGUUCUUAUUUUACGUAUUUCUUUUAUUCUUUAUAUAUAUAUAAUUUUCUCCAAGUUUAUAUUGCGCUAAAGAACACGAAGAAGGUCAUUCUCGAGUUUACUUCCGUGUUGACCAGUCCAUUCUUUUUGUUAAUCUUUGAACGUAAGUCUUCUAGUCCCGAGUAACAUAUAAGUAGUCGGAUAAAAUGUAGGUAACUGUAUCUUAAGGGUCUCUUUAAAAUAAUGAAAGGUCUGAAUAAUAAGUCAGGAAAAUAGUAAGGCCGAAUCACUAGAAUAAUGCACAAGACAAUUAAGUAAGACGUCACAAGGCAGAGUAAAACCGAACCUUAAGAUAGAUAAAUGGGAUAGAUCGGGUAUCAAAAGGUACUGGUAAGGCGACCACAUAGGAAGGUCGGAAAUUCGGUUUGGUAUCUCCUGACUAGUUACAAGGUACCAAUGAGUUAAAAGAAGCCUUAUUCCGAGCCCCGGCAUCUUUAAAUGCCAGAACCCUUAGUUCUAGGAUCUCGUGACGGGUAGCUGUAAUCAAGUUUCGAGAGAUCGGAAAAGUCCUUAUCCGGUUCUCAACCUAAAAUUCUAAUAAAUAUUUAAAAAGGAGAUCGGAGGAGAGUUCUUAUCC